RNAcentral lists this ribosomal RNA (529 nucleotides) under uncultured bacterium. Its description in RNAcentral is "partial 16S ribosomal RNA". It matches the Rfam family "Bacterial small subunit ribosomal RNA", at positions 28 to 523 of the family's 1533-position model. The record is from RNAcentral.
GACGAACGCUGGCGGCGUGCCUAAUACAUGCAAGUCGAGCGAGCAAUUUUAGCAGAAUACCUUCGGGUAGGAAGCUAAGAGCGCGAGCGGCGGAUGGGUGAGUAACACGUGGGCAACCUACCCUUUAGCUGGGGAUACCACUUGGAAACAGGUGCUAAUACCGAAUAAGAAGCAAGAGCGCAUGCUCAAGCUAUGAAAGGCGGCUUUAAGCUGUCACUAAAGGAUGGGCCCGCGGUGCAUUAGCUAGUUGGUAAGGUAACGGCUUACCAAGGCGAUGAUGCAUAGCCGAGUUGAGAGACUGAACGGCCACAUUGGGACUGAGACACGGCCCAAACUCCUACGGGAGGCAGCAGUAGGGAAUCUUCCACAAUGGACGCAAGUCUGAUGGAGCAACGCCGCGUGAGUGAAGAAGGUUUUCGGAUCGUAAAGCUCUGUUGUUGGUGAAGAAGGAUAAGGAUAGUAACUGAUUCAUAUUUGACGGUAAUCAACCAGAAAGUCACGGCUAACAACGUGCCAGCAGCCGCCGUAA